This is a transfer RNA of Felis catus (domestic cat), 73 nucleotides long. It matches the Rfam family "tRNA". Rfam says of the family: Transfer RNA (tRNA) molecules are approximately 80 nucleotides in length. Their secondary structure includes four short double-helical elements and three loops (D, anti-codon, and T loops). Further hydrogen bonds mediate the characteristic L-shaped molecular structure. tRNAs have two regions of fundamental functional importance: the anti-codon, which is responsible for specific mRNA codon recognition, and the 3' end, to which the tRNAs corresponding amino acid is attached (by aminoacyl-tRNA synthetases). tRNAs cope with the degeneracy of the genetic code in two manners: having more than one tRNA (with a specific anti-codon) for a particular amino acid; and 'wobble' base-pairing, i.e. permitting non-standard base-pairing at the 3rd anti-codon position. NCBI's taxonomy places the organism in Eukaryota, Metazoa, Chordata, Mammalia, Carnivora, Felidae. The record is from Rfam.
ACCUGGCUGGCUCAGUCGGUAGAGCAUGUGUCUCUGGAUCUCGGGAUUGUGGGUUCGAGCCCCACAUUGGGCG